This 361-nucleotide ribosomal RNA is filed under the name uncultured Piloderma. RNAcentral describes it as "eukaryotic LSU rRNA". It matches the Rfam family "Eukaryotic large subunit ribosomal RNA", at positions 1 to 354 of the family's 3401-position model. Lineage: Eukaryota; Fungi; Basidiomycota; Agaricomycetes; Atheliales; Atheliaceae. The record is from RNAcentral.
UUGACCUCAAAUCAGGUAGGACUACCCGCUGAACUUAAGCAUAUCAAUAAGCGGAGGAAAAGAAACUAACAAGGAUUCCCCUAGUAACUGCGAGUGAAGCGGGAAAAGCUCAAAUUUAAAAUCUGGCGGUCUUGCGGCCGUCCGAGUUGUAAUCUGGAGAAGCGUUUAUCCGCGUCGGACCGUGUACAAGUCUUCUGGAAGGGAGCGUCGUAGAGGGUGAGAAUCCCGUCUUUGACACGGACAACCGGUGCUUUUGUGAUGCGCUCUCGAGAGUCGAGUGUUUGGGAAUGCAGCUCAAAAUGGUGGUAAAUUCCAUCUAAAGCUAAAUAUUGGCGAGAGACCGAUAGCGAACAAGUACCGU